CAUCAUAUUGAAAAUUCUGUUUUACUUAUUACAUAAAUGCUAGUAGAGCUUUUUUAUAUUUUCAUGUUAUUUUAGGUUCAGAUUUUAUGCCUUGUGCUUUUGCAUUGAUGUUCACCAACUAGAGACAACCGAAAUUACACCUGCAGUCACAGUCCAAAGUUGGGUCCACUUUCCUCUGUGGAGCCAAAGAAAGCAGACACUGGGGAGCCCUGUGAGUUGUGCCUCUACCAAUAUUCUGAUAUCUAUAAUCUGAUGAAACACUGUUUCUG
This 269-nucleotide long non-coding RNA is filed under the name Homo sapiens (human). RNAcentral's name for it is "HSALNT0157454". Lineage: Eukaryota; Metazoa; Chordata; Mammalia; Primates; Hominidae. The record is from RNAcentral.